Molecule: non-coding RNA, 96 nt
Organism: Orbilia javanica
Lineage: Eukaryota; Fungi; Ascomycota; Orbiliomycetes; Orbiliales; Orbiliaceae
Source: the annotation of a GenBank genome assembly
GGUUCCUUAGCUCAGUCGGUUAGAGCGUCGUGCUAAUAUGUUAAGAAUUUCUUAGCUGUUACGCGAAGGUCGCGAGUUCGACCCUCGUAGGAACCA